GUCGGCGUGGCAUAGUGGUUUGAGUGUUGGACUGUGACUCUGGAGACCAGAGUUCAAUUCCCUGCUUGUCCA
This is a non-coding RNA of Phrynosoma platyrhinos (Desert horned lizard), 72 nucleotides long. The record is from the annotation of a GenBank genome assembly. NCBI's taxonomy places the organism in Eukaryota, Metazoa, Chordata, Lepidosauria, Squamata, Phrynosomatidae.